Molecule: ribosomal RNA, 468 nt
Filed under: uncultured bacterium
Lineage: Bacteria
Description: partial 16S ribosomal RNA
Rfam family: Bacterial small subunit ribosomal RNA
Source: RNAcentral
GACGAACGCUGGCGGCGUGCUUAACACAUGCAAGUCGAACGGAAAGGCCCUGCUUUUGUGGGGUGCUCGAGUGGCGAACGGGUGAGUAACACGUGAGUAACCUGCCCUUGACUUUGUGAUAACUUCAGGAAACUGGGGCUAAUACCGGAUAGGAGCUCCUGCUGCAUGGUGGGGGUUGGAAAGUUUCGGCGGUUGGGGAUGGACUCGCGGCUUAUCCGCUUGUUGGUGGGGUAGUGGCUUACCAAGGGUUUGACGGGUAGCCGGCCUGAGAGGGUGACCGGCCACAUUGGGACCGAGAUACGGCCCAGACUCCUACGGGAGGCAGCAGUGGGGAAUAUUGCACAAUGGGCGGAAGCCUGAUGCAGCAACGCCGCGUGCGGGAUGACGGCCUUCGGGUUGUAAACCGCUUUCGCCUGUGACGAAGCGUGAGUGACGGUAAUGGGUAAAGAAGCACCGGCUAACUACGUG